Molecule: ribosomal RNA, 585 nt
Filed under: uncultured fungus
Lineage: Eukaryota; Fungi
Description: SSU rRNA
Rfam family: Eukaryotic small subunit ribosomal RNA
Source: RNAcentral
GACUCAACACGGGGAAACUCACCAGGUUCAGAUGAAAUAAGGAUUGACAGAUUGAGAGCUCUUUCUUGAUUUUUCAGGUGGUGGUGCAUGGCCGUUCUUAGUUCGUGGGGUGACUUGUCUGCUUAAUUGCGAUAACGAGCGAGACCUUACUCUGCUAAAUAGCCAGGCUAGCUUUGGCUGGUCGCCGGCUUCUUAGAGAGACUAUCAACUCAAGUUGAUGGAAGUUUGAGGCAAUAACAGGUCUGUGAUGCCCUUAGAUAUUCUGGGCCGCACGCGCGCUACACUGACAGAGCCAACGAGUUCUUUCCCUUGGCCGAAAGGUCUGGGUAAUCUUGUUAAACUCUGUCGUGCUGGGGAUAAAGCAUUGCAAUUAUUGCUUUUCAACGAGGAAUGCCUAGUAAGCGCGUGUCAUCAGCAUGCGUUGAUUACGUCCCUGACCUUUGUACACACCGCCCGUCGCUACUACCGAUUGAAUGGCUCAGUGAGGCCUUCGGACUGGCUCGGGGAGGUUGGCAACGACCACCCCAAGCCGGAAAGUUGGUCAAACUCGGUCAUUUAGAGGAAGUAAAAGUCGUAACAAGGUUU